UAUUGAGCACCAAAUCAGGCUAAUUUAUUAGAUUGUUUUGAAAUUUGUUAAAAAAUACAUUACCAUUCUUAUUUAUUUAUUUAUUAAUGAACAAAACAGAAAAAUAAAUACAAAAAAGUAUCACAGUUUCAAAUAAUAAGCAGCACAACCAUUUUCAACAUUGAUAAUAAUGAGAAAUGUUUAUUGAGCACCAAAUCAGCAUUAUUAGAAUGAUUUCUGAAGGAUCACGUGACACUGAAGACUGGAGUAAUGACUGUAUAUAUGACUAUAUAUAUAUAUAUAUAUGAAACGGUUAUCGUGAAUAAAAUUCUUAAAUUUGGUCAAUAAAUGCAGCUAUAUAUGCAUUUAUUUGACCGAAUGUAAGAAUUUUAUGUGAAAUUCCUAUUACCUCUGAAACUUAAGAAUCAUGUCAUUCUCAAAUUCAAUGUCAUCUUUGUUCCCAUAGAACAUUUAAUGUGUGGGGGAAGUCUCUAAAAAUGCAUGAAUCAUCAGAAGUAAAUUAAUAAUUCAUACACCACAUGGUGUCCACAGCUGUGCCAUUCUCAUAAUCUGACAUAAAUACUGAAAGGUUUGCUUUAACUAUUCAUUCACUCCUAUAAAAUGUCAUGCAAAAUUUACAUUCUGUGUAACUGAUACAUGUUAACAUUAUACAUAACAGAAUACCUUUGCAUAAAACAUACAGCUGGUCAAUGACACUUUAAACUAAUCAACAAAAUGUGAUGGAUGUGCAAAAGGCAAUAAAUAAACAGGAAAACAACGAAGAAUUCAAUUCAACUUCAGGCUCCUUCAGAAACAGACUAAAGGUGUGUAGUUAUACAAUAUAAAUGCAUAUGUCGUUACAGAUAUAAGUGUAAAUUCAGUCUCCAUUUUAAGUGUCACGGCUAAUAUAUUUUUAGCAUAACAAUACCUUUCCAUUUAAGUACCUUGCUUAGGCCUAUAUGUAAGGAAGAGUUGGAAGAAACCAAAGAUACUUGCUGCCAUCUAGUGGACACUUUUUACAAACUGCAUUGGGUAUUUUCUACAGACUUGAAAUUUAAAUUAUUUUCCAAAUCCAUGAAGUGCUCUAUCCCUCAUUAUGUGACAGCAAUUGUGUGAUCAUAAAUAGAAGAUGAAAUAAUAUCUUAAUAAAUAAUAGGAAAAUACUAUAAAAAAAAUAGUUACAAUCCAUUGAGGCACAAUUCAAAUGCAACGCCCCGUGUAUGAAAACAUUAUCAGGUAAAUUCUUUAAAAUUUCAUUGCUUUGGCAUAUCAUUUGCAAAGACAUGAUUUAUAAUAUAUUCAGUUUCUAUUUUAUGUAUUUUUUAUUUCUGAAAAAUAUAUCUGAUUAAAUACAAAGUGUUGAUGCAUAAAAUGUUCUACUAUUGUAAAACUAGAAAAUAGUGUAACCAGCAUGCUUUGCUGCAUCAUCUGUCUGGAAAAUGUUUCCUAAACACACUUCACAGUGAAAGCACUGUUUUGUAACACUGCUCUGCAGAAGUACUGAAAAUUGUCCAGAUACUAUUUUUAGUGGAACUGUACAUGCCAAAUAUGUUCUAUGUUGAUGAGCAUUAUUUAAAAAGAAAGAAAGAAAGAAAGACAGAAAGAAAAAAGAACAGCAGAGACCUGUGUUCAUGUAUUUCUUAUUGAAAUAGGAAGCUUUUCUUUAAAUAACAUGACGGCCAUGAACCAUGAUUCUCAUCCAAAUUAGGCCCUAUCUGGACCUGUAAAUGCCCAAUACAUGCCAAAUAUGUUUGAUGUAGAUGAGCAUAAAAAUAAAAAUCCAUGGACUCUAAAGUUUACAAGUGUCUGCAGGUGCCUUCAUGGCCUCUAGAGGGACUAAAUACAAUCUCGGUUUACUCUGACAGCUGUUAUGUUGUAGCCUAGUCCACAAAAUAAGUAGCUAGUACUACCAUCUACCAUCAUGAUACUACAGCAUUGUCCUUCUGUAUAUAAAGGAAUAUCUGAAUUAGCAUCCAAUGUUUAUGAAUGGAAACCUAAUUUGAUAGCCUACAUAAAAACAUUUAAUGAAGACAUUUUUAAGACUGAGAUGUUUUGCAUCAAUGCAAAUCUGUAUUCUGGAAUGUCAAUUAUUUUUGGCUAUAUAAACAGGCUACAUAAAAGUGCAAAAGGUGUACUUAGAAUAAUCUUCAUGAAACAAGUUAUUACACCUAUAAAAUUACAGUAAUAAAUAAACAUUAAUAAAUGAGAAAAAAAAUAAUGGUAAGCACACUUUCCAACAAUAGCUAUAUUACAGUAAAUUGUUACUGUUAAAUAGCCUACAUAAUAUGUAACCUUCAAACAGUGUAAAGAAAUCUUAGAAUCUUUAGCCAUUUUGUUAAUUCCUUUGUUUGAUGAUAGUGGUGGUGAACAGGUUAUGAGAAUAAUUGUAUGGUGAUGAUUUAGCAGAUACUAUGGUACAUGUAGGUUUAAAAAAAUGCAGUGAUUGCAUGCAAUAUUUUAGCGUAUUCCGCGAGGUUAGCAUAAUUAUUGAAACAAACAAACAAACAAAACAAAAAUGCUGAUACAUAUUAGAAUUAAAUUUAAAGAUAAUAAUAUAAAGAUACUCAUAUAAAGAGAUAAUAUAGCCUAACAUUUUUCUAAUGUUAAAGAGAAAAAAGAAAGAAAGAAGUAAAAAAAACACCCGCUAAGCAUUGUAGCAGCAGGCGCAACGUCGAAAUAAUAAUACACUUGUAUUAGUAGCCCAUAUCUCAUUAUCGCAGAAGGACUCAGUUCCACCAUGACACGGUAGGCUAAGCGAAAAUCUCGAUUAUGUGAAAUGGCGGCAAGAGGAGGAGGCGAGGACGGAAACAUGAUACAGUACAGCGCCACUGACUGCACUGAACCAAUGAGUGAAACAGAAAACCCGGAGUGGAUUUUGUACAUCAGUCUGAAUCAACUACGCUGCAAGAGCCACAAACUACCAGAACGCUCCAUUAUCAUCGAGGAAGCUGCCCACACUUCAAGUCGAACACCCGAGUGAAUACAUGCAGUGAGCCUUGACAGGAAGGUUGAUAUUAAUGACAACUUUAUUUAUUUAUUGCACUCCCUCAGGCAUUGUAUACUUUUUUUUGUAUUAUUAUUUAAAUAAUAAUUAAAUUAAAUACUACAUUAAACAGUUAAAUAAUUUAGUAAUUUAAAUUAUUAUUUAAAUAUACAUGUAAAAAUGCUAGAUUUUAUAAAUAGCCUAUAACAGUGGAAACGUGUCAUCAAGGGUACACAACUCAAUAUGCAAGUGCUCCGGAGAAUACUUGAACUUAUUUGCUUAAACCAGCUCUGAUUAUGCAGGUCCUCAAAAUAAAUACUUGUUCUCAAGUUAAUUUUACCACUGGGGCCUUGACUGUUCCCAGCUGUCCCUCCUCCCAUCCACUCUCGAAUUGGUCCCUGACCAUACAUGGUCUUAGUUGAAGAAAGCGGCAGGCCAAGAGAGCUGUAGGAAGAAGUGAUCUGCCGCUCAAACAAGCCUGUGUGUGAAAGGGAGGAUUCAGUAUAGCGCUGGCCAUGUCACUCCCCCACCGCAACAAUUUACACUGUAAUAGUGUAAGAGCUAAAAAUGGGUUCCAGGUGACUCAUGUUGUGUUACAAGCUCCAUAAACAAAAUUUAAGUCUGAAAACUCUUGAGGUGAGACUACAGCAUUUGCAUGAAUUUCAGGAAUUUAUCAGCAAUAAGUGAAUAUGGUCUAGUUUCAGAAUUGUGAUGCAUGCUGGUUCAAAGCGUGUACAAACCUGUUCUUCAAAUACUGGAUGAUAUCUAGGCAUUUGAAAAACAGAAAAAAGUGUAAGACUGAGCGUAAGUAUCCUUAGCAAUUAAAAGGACUGUGUCUAAUUCAUGAAGUAGGUGUUUUUGAUGGCAUUUGAGUUUGUAGGGGGGAUAUGAUGACAUAAUUCCUGUUAUGUUAUUCUAAUGAAGUGAGAGACAGCCUUCCUUCCUACAUUCUACACAGAUUGUAUGACACACUGCAUGGAAUUUAACACUCCUGACUCUUAAAGACUCUAUGAAAUCGCUUUAUGAGCACAGCAGUGACCUGUGUUCAUCUAUUCUUAUUGAAACAGGAAGUUAUUUUGUGCAGUUUCUUUUUUAAUAACAUGAGAGACGUGAACCAUGAUUCUCAUACAAAAGUAUUCAGGGUCCUUAUCUGUCUGUUUUUCUGUUUAUCUCUCAUUAUCAAAUACUGAAAUCUGUCUGUACAAACAGGGGAAAUGUACUGUUUUUUGUUUGUUUUUUACAGUGUAUGAUAAUUUUAGCGGGUUAACGUAGUGUGUGACAGAAGUGGAACAUAUUUCUACUUUCAAUGAAUGAAGGCCUCACUAACACCUCUUCCAACAGCAACCUAGUUUUCCCAGGAGAUCUCCCAUCCAGGUACUGACCAGGCUCAGCCCUGCUUAGCUUCCAUGGGCAACCGGUCUUGGGCUGCAGGGUGAUAUGGCUGUGAAUGUGACUUUCACAUUCAUAUAGCCCACCAAAUAGGAAUUUAAAGGUUUGCAAGCUUCAGUUUUGUCCGUUCAUAGUGAAAUUAAAUUCCACCAAAUACACACAACAGAUUAUUAGCUGCAUAUGAAAAAAAUGCUGAAUCCAAUAAAUAUAUUCAAAAAGUUUGAAAACACGCAUUAUGUGAAGAAUUUAAAAUAUACAAUUAAUUAAUUACACGUUUUUUUGAACUUGUUUGAAUUUGAUUUUAAAAUUGUUUAACAUUUUUGGAAUAAUAAUUCAUGAAAAAAUGUAAAACUCACAAACAUUUCAACUUUGAGAAUCAAUUCUCUAACUGUGUAAAUGUGUUAAGCCUUAUUGCCUUAUAAAUAAUGUAUACUGAUGAACGAAUAAAUGGAUGAUCAACCACAAAUGUCAUGAACAAUAACACUAACUACUGAUAAAACGAUUCUUAUCAACCCACUUCCUGCUUUUCUGGCUCUCGCUGCACUUUUCUGUCUCUUUUUAUUUCUCCAUCUAUUCCUCAUGGAUUCUCUCAGCCCCAUACGUCUGAUUUAACAGGGCUUGUUUCUCUGUCUAUUUGAGUAAUAUUAAAGGGAUAGUUCACCCAAAAAUGAAAAUUCUGUGAUCAUUUACUCACUUACAACCAGCAAGUUUUUAUUACUAUUGAAAACAAAAAGAGAAAUUUAGCAGAAUGUCAAUACUGCUCUUUUCCACACAAUGAGUGAAUGGUGAUCAGGGGCUUUCAAAAAGUACAAUGAAAGUUCUAUUUAAAUGUAUUUAAAUUAGUUGUAUGUGUCAUUUUUACAGUUUGACGGUCCCUAGUCACAAUUCAAAUUCACAAAGUAAACCAACAACAUAAAGGUGAGUGAAUGAUGAGACUUUUCAUUUUCUGAGUGAGCUAUUCCUUUAAUGAUGAGCAAAAGACUGACGGUUAACUGACAAGAUUUCACUAUACAGUAGCAUCCUACAAGUAAAACACCCCUGAGUCAGAAAGCCUACUCAUUCUUGAUAUUACUCAUGCUCUGAAAAACAUUAACGCUUUCUGUGAGAGAGCAGAAAGAUGAGCACCAGUUCAACAAGAGAAGCAGGAUAGUACAGGGGACAAAAGACUGUCACUGCAUGCACCUUCCGUUAUAAAUCACAAUAGAUAUGAUUGACAACAACAGCAGAUUAAAUAUUUUCCUUCUUGCCAUCAGUAAGACAUUUUUAUGCAAAGCCAUUGCUUUAUCUAUUUUCUGCAUGUCAUAAUAUGACAAACCUCACCAUCAUUAUUUCCAGAUGUUUGUGCACAAAUAGAAAAAUGUCUUUCAGUAUGUUUUAAAUACCUGUAAUCACAUUAAUCCUGUAUUUCUGUACUUGCGCUGGCUAGUUAAUGGCCAAAGAAAAUGAUGCAAGGGGGUGUUUAUGGGCUUGCACACACUCACUGCAUUUAUCAUUUUAUUGUGUGCAUUGCAGAAGGAGGUAAUAAUUCAACAGAGCAGCUUAAGUCAACUCAUUUUUUAAAGGUGAAACCACCCAAACUUGUUGUCUAAUCAGCCAAAUACCUUUCAUUUUUAAGAUUUCUAAAGCAAGUUUUAUGGUUUCAUGUUUCUUCACAAACAAAAUGAGAUAAUAUUCACAAUCUUUACCACAAAAGAAAUAUAUGACAAAAGUGCAUGACUGUAAAAAACAAUUAUAAAUGAUACCGAUCUAAAGUCAUGAGGUGCCAGUGCGAACAUGACAUCUAUUAUAAUACAGAGUAUGCAUUUAGAAUAGGAUAAGGUUUGGCUAUAAGGUGUGGUCAGAUAGGCGUAGUAGUCCUUUUCUUAGCUUUGUCAACAGUUUAUAAAGAUUUCACAAACGUGUGUCUUAGAUCUGUAGUUUUCACUAGUUGGUAGAUCACUUGUGAAAAAAAAAAAAAAAAUUUUGGCAGUUCAUCAGCUACUCCGAAGAUUUUGGAUAUUACACCAUAAAAGUGGUCCAUACAGGGUUUUUUUUUUUUUUUUUGUGAACAAGCAGAUGACUUUUGGUAUAGCUAGGGGCCAAGGCUGUUGAUGGCCUUGCAGCCCAACAACAGCAUUGUGAAUCUGAUUUGGGGAGCUGUGAGAAGCCAAAAUUGGGCCACACCAUUAUGGAUGCACUCAAGGGGUAAUGACAGCAGACCAAUGAGGAAUGAGUAGCAAUAAUCUAGUCAAGAGAUAAUUCAAAAACCGAAUGAUUGUGGCCUAUGCAUGCAGCAAGAUGAAGCUACAUACAGCUGGUGAAAGAAAUCAGAGAGAUAAUGCUGAAGGGCAGAAAGAGAGCCACUCAUCAAGCUUUUAGAGGGGAAAAAAACUGAUUAACAUUCAUUUAUAAUCUCAAAUCUAAUUUCCACCCUAAUAAGUACAUCAGUAGGAUCUAAGACUUGAAAUUUCAAAAUAACAUCCAUCGUGAAACACAUGUAUCAUUUAAGGUGUCAUUACAAAAUAGCAUUGAAAUCCAUACUCCAUUUAUUACAACAGCAAUUCAUCAGAAGCCAAAUUAGCUGGAAAAUCUUUAUUUUAAGCAUACGGUUUGCCUGGAGGCACCAGCACUGUACAGAGUGAAUGUAGUGUAGUGUGCCAAAAAAUGAUCGGGUUUCCUCGUCACACAGUGGCUAGUGAUAAGAUCCUUAUAAAAAUAGGGCUUGUAGUGCACUGAAGAUUCUAUUCUAAUAUAUAACACAGGCCCAUCCAACCUCACAUUACCCCAUUAAAAUUCUUUUGUCCUGACUAAGACUUUGUUAUGGCUACAGAUGUCUGUCUGAGCUGCCACACUUUCUCAGGCAACAGAGGUGAAGCAUGGAACGUGUGGAAAUUCCCCUGCAGAAAUCCACUGACAGGUACGUAAAAACCUAAAACUGAGAGAACGCCCCCCUUCGAAGACAAAACUGUGCGAGAACCUAAUAAUGCUCAGCUUAAGGUGGACUUUAGAACUUGCAUGUGGAUAAUGACAAACAAGCCUCAACUUUGAUCAAAACAUUUAGCAGUUUAGUCUCUCUCAUCCAGAAACAAAUGAGCUGAAGAUUUGCGUAUUGACAGAGGGCCUGAUAUCAUACCUGCUUGUUCUGUACAGUAUGUGUUGGUAGGUACAGGUAUAAACCCUGACAAAUGAGAAGGCGAGAUAACAAUGGCAAGGAAGAUGAAAGAGAAAUGGCAGAAAAUGGGAAGUUUGACAGACAGAGAGGGGAGAGAAGGAGGGCGCAGAGAGGGGGAGGCAGAGAGGGCAAAUGCAAACAAUGAAUAAAUAUUCAUGUUCACCGACAGAAAGGUUGCAGUGUGCAAAAUUUCCAGCCUUUUGCAAUGUGAGUGGGAGAUACCAAUGCAGAAGAGAGAGGGGGAGGAAUGAGAGCAUUUACAAGCCUGAAGAAUGAUUCCACUGAUCAGGAGGUCCUCAGAAAAAUGUACUUGCAAAUUGAAACAGCCCGUUAUUGUUUGUUCAGAUGUGUCACAAACGAGCAACUCUUAAAUUAUGAUUCUUUCUAGUCUGUUAGAUACAAAGAGGUUUUAGUGCACUGACAUAUUUCUGUGGCUUUUGAUGAUACAUAAGGCUGCAGAUUGUGGGGUACAAUUGUCAGUAGAACCAGAGGGUGAAAAUCUGAGCCACAUCUGCCGCUGUUGUGCAUGAGUUGCUUCACAGAAGAACUUGAGUUUUUUUUUUUUGUCCUCACCGAAUGAGAGAUAUUAGAACAUCUAAACCCUGCCUGAAGUGCUUUGGGCUUUUAGAAAUCAGUCAAUGUCCUUGUGGCAUUUUUCAGACAGAUUCAGCACUAUGUUGGAUGGUUUUGUAACAAUAAGACUGAUCAUACACACUUGGUCCUGUUUUGUGGCAGACUGGCUCAUUCCUCUGUCAACAGCAAUGUGAGAUUUAAAAAACAUGCACAGAACGUUCCUGCUGAUGCUGUCCAAAUCACAAACGAUCAAAAACAACUAAAAACCUUCUAAGAAUGGAAAUCGCAUGUUCCUUUGCCAUCAAAUGAUCACAUUUUUUCUUUUCCCUUUGAAACCUUGCAUGAAUUACUAAACUGCAAAGGGAACAACUUUGCUUUUUAUUUCAAAACAAGAAUAUAAAAUAUUCAUUAUAAAAUUAAAAAUAAAAUGAAUAUUUGUUUCCUCAAAAUGAUGUGUUUUUAGAGAAUGACACUUCUCUUGUACUUGGCACAUUUAAAUUUGUCAUAUAUUAAAACACAAUCCUUGCAUCUGUAAUAUGCCCACUUCUGCACUAAAAAGUAAGCAAAAAUGUCAAAUGAGUAAAGUCUGAGCAAUAAAACAGUAAGCCAGAAAUGACCAGUGUUAUUUUAUUAUUAUUUAUAUAGUAUUAUAAUAUGCAUUAAUAUUUUGAAUUUGAAAAAUUAAAAUGCAAAAAUUAAUUAAUUUAUAUUUAUUUAUUUUAAAAAACUUUUUAUUGUUUUAAUUUGCAUUUACAUAAUUUUAUAUGAUUUUGUCGUUUGGAUUAUUUUUUCUGUUUUAGCUGACAAGGCAACAUUUCUUCAUGUUUUUAAGUUUUCCAUCUAAUAUUCAAAGUUUAUUUUAUCUUUAUUUCAGUGACCAAAAACUAAUUUUAAUAGCCUUAUUUUUAGAUACAGUAACAACACUGGAUAAUGUAAACAUCAUAUGUAAGAUGACAAUGCCUGAGGACGUAUGCAGAUUGUAUUCAUACUACACACAUGUAUAUUUUAUAGAACUUACUACAUCAUUUGAGAAGUUCUUCAGCAAAUGCAAUACAGACAGCAGAUAAAUAUCAUUGUGUAUGACAGUUAUGGGUAAAGCCUCUUUAUGGGUACUCUUCUUACAGUGUAUUUCACUAUCCAUGAAAAUGUCAUUUAAUGUAUUUUAAAUACAUAUUACACAAAAAGGCACACCUCAUCCAUAAGAAUAAGGUUUAAAAGUGUGAUUGAGAAAAGCCAGCGGUGAGGAGAGUGGGAAAGACUGAAUGAGUGAGUUCUGCUGAUAACUGUGGGCACGUCAGGGUCAAUGCUAAAGGAGAGCGGCACCUCCUACAGACAACAUGAUUAAUGAACACACUGAUGUGAACCUCUGAAUAUGACGAAGAAGCCUAAACUAAACCAGUCCUCAUGGGAGAAAUGCUCUCAGACCAGCACAAGAGACAUCCUCCAUCAACUGGAGAAUAUUUACACAUGAACUGAACAACCAUGAACAAAGGCGCACUCCACCCAACUCACAUGAAAUAAGUGUAAACUUCUAUAAAUAACGUCUACUUGCUAUGAAUGGGUGGUUAUGUAAUGAUAUAACAUCUAAAAAAAAAUUUUUUUAGACAGUAUUUACUGUUUCAUGUUACAUGUACAUACAUACAAAUGUAAACAUAUUCCCUUAGAUAAAUUAUUUUAAGCGAGGGUUGACGUUAGGAAUCAUUAGGUGUAUCAUCUUUUAAUGUGGUGUUGCAAACAAAAUCCUUCCUUGGGGACAAUGAAGGGGCCAUCAAGGUGAAAUGGAGAAAUGGGUUGGAAAUGAAGUAACAGGGUAAGCAUAUACUGGCUUUGCAGCAGGUCACCUGAGGUAUACUUCCUCACCCCCACCACAGGAAGUCCGACCUCAUAAAAACAGGAAACUCCACUGCUCUAAUACAUCAAAGAGCUACUGUGCAUAGGUGAAGUCCUCAAAAUAGCCAUGCCAAACUCAAGGCAGAUGGACGACUUUUUGUGUACAGAGGGUUAUAAGCGAUAAUAAAUUUGAAAGUCAUAUUUCUAAAUUAUAAUGUAGAUAUAUAAACAGCAGAAUACAUAUAUAAUAUAAACAGUGGAAUGGUCUAGAGGCACAUUUUUUAAAAGUUGAAAAGUUUUAUGCAAAAAGCCACUGUCAAGCACAUUUGUCUAAAAUGAACGGAAAAGCAGCGCAAAACGUGUUCUGCGUGGUCGCAUUUAUACUGAAUUCUGCAGGAUCUGUAUUUUUCUUGUGAGUUC
Molecule: long non-coding RNA, 10325 nt
Organism: Onychostoma macrolepis
Lineage: Eukaryota; Metazoa; Chordata; Actinopteri; Cypriniformes; Cyprinidae
Exons: 3
Source: RefSeq, a predicted model, not a curated record